Molecule: long non-coding RNA, 3834 nt
Filed under: Homo sapiens (human)
Lineage: Eukaryota; Metazoa; Chordata; Mammalia; Primates; Hominidae
Description: HSALNT0371060
Source: RNAcentral
GAGCUGAGCUGGGGAAGGGAGACCAGGGUUCACCACGUUAGCAUUCGCAUUCCUGGGAGGAUGCAGCCCUCGCCUGGACCUGGGCGAUAGACGCCUUCUUCUGUUUUUAUUUUUGGAGGGGAGCGCCCUGUAAUUGUCCUGAACACAUGCUUCCCCCCCUUCCUCCAGCCACCCGCGGAGGAGAGAGUCCCCCUUUUUUGCAUUUAUCUUUUCCUUCCCCUUUCUUUAUUAAAGGUCCGGGAGUGGCGGCGGCCAAUCAGCGCGCGGCUUCCAUUUUGUGAGUUCAACUCCGAGGCUCCCGGGCUUCGCGAGGACGCGUUUGCAGCCCCCUCUGCCGCUCCUCUCUGGCGGCCGAGGCGCAGGAGCCGCCUCGCCGGGGCUCGGAGCUGGUGUAGCUCAUAUUGGGGCUCUUUUCGGGGUUUGUAAUUUGGCCGUGGGUAGGUAAUUGGCUGGAGCAGGGCGGCAGGGCGCGGCAGCCAAUCAGCGCGCGGCUUCUAUAGGGCUUGAGUUAUUAGACGCUGAUCUCAAAACAUCCUUCAUCAGACACGAAGGAGAGGCCAACAGAUGAGGGAAGCCAUUUUUCUGCAAUGGAAUUAAAUGGCCAAGUGGGUUUUUCCUUUGUUGCAAAUGGGGAAUGUUUUUCCUUUGACUCUACCAUCCAGUUCAGGACGUCUCAGUGUGUUUAACAUUUGUCAACAGGCCCAAGGACUCACAGUUGGAAGACUGGAGAAGACUUUUUAAAAAGAUCUGGAUUUUUCCUUAUGACUUGGAAUCCAUCUUUGUCUUGUAUAACUAGGUCAUAGCACACCAUUCAUGUCAGCAGUUAACAGUUUUGAAUUCCAAAAAAACCUAAGUAAAUGACAUAUUUUUUUUCCUCUUUUUGUUCUAUGGGUGGGUGGGGGGAGCUUGGAGCUGUCUUAAUCUGUAUUCUCUUGACUGAACAAUAAAUUUUUAAAUAUAUCUAGUUUCCUCUAUUAAACACUUAAACCUGGCCAUCUUAUUAACUCCUUCUCUCUUUUUAACAAGGUAAUGUUUUAAAUGUAUAUAGCUUUAGGACUAGCGAAAUGGCAGCAACAAAAAAUUGUGAGCAGUUGUUACUCUUUUAGUUUUUAAAAAACCUUUUACAUUGUAAGUACCCAAUCCAUUCUGUCCUGACGCAGUACAGUUUUGAUGUUAAUGUUGCUGAGAUGUCCUUAAUUUUCCGAACCUUCAUCUGCAUGUAUGUCUUUGUCUCUCUUGUCUAAUAUAAGCCAGUUAAGAUGCUUGAGACGAUCUUGCUUUAUAAAGCUAAGGUUCUAGCUUUAUGCUUUUGAAAAUGUUUACAGCACUAAAUGCUAGUCAGCUUUCUUCCCCGUAGCUUGUACACUUUCUUUGAAAAUCGAUCUAUUUGAAGAAAAACAGCCCUGUUUUUCUCGUCUUUGGUGUUGGGGGUUGGGGGGAGCUGGUGGGUGAGGGAAAGGAAGACCUUUUCUUUGUGUAGAGAGACUAAAGCCGUCACAGGAAACUAGAUUAAAACUGGAAAACAAGUCCUAGCUGGUUCCAGCAAACACCAACGUUAAGUGGGGGGUAUUUUCUAUGGUGGUUGGGCGGCUGGUGCGUCUUGUGCCUUUUGUUUGAUUUGACUGUAUUUUCGCCUUUUGUCUCUUAAUGACGAUCACACCAUUGCUAUAUCCAGAGCAGUAAACAGUCCUCAGCGAAGCCGCCUUUUUGCCUACCCAACCCUGGAAAGUUUGCAGAAGUGGAAGGAGCAGAACGUGAGGGUGUAACUUACAAAAAGGUAAUAAGAACAAAGACACCACCAUAACCCCCAAAUUUCCCAACUAAAUCAAAAAAUAUAUAUGUUUUUACAAUAACGUCUCCAAAACCACCGCCCAGCUUGAUCUUCUAGACUCCAUGGCACCGGGCUGAGCGGGUAAGUAAGAAAGAUAAAAAGUGCCUUUUGCCCCUUCGAGGAAACCCUUUUGCAGGCCAAGCAAGGGCUGCAAGUGUUUGGGAGCUGAGAGGAGAAGGAGGAUUCUGGAGCAUUGUAUUUGGCAGCCGGAGCGGGCAGUGGGCGGGGGGUUGGGACACGAAGGGCUCUUCGGACCCCUGUGCCUCUUCUGCCCCAAGGGCGAGAAGACGGGCUUCGCAGCGACCCUCGGGGGUCCAUGGAGCCGCCUGCCUUCGCCCCCUCGCUCUUCCCAGGUCUGAACCUGGAUGGGGAGAAGAAAUUGAAGUGCUUUGGAGACGGGGGGGCUUAAAACACUAGGGAGCCUCAUCGCCCAGCCUUGGGCCCACUUUCCUUUCGAUCGUGAGGAUUCCGCACCCCGAAGCCGGCUUCUCGGGGCUCCGGGGCGCGCCUGCGCUGGCAACGCGAAGGAGGACAAAAGGCCGGCGUCCAUGUUGGCACCAUGACGCAGCAUCUCCGCCCGCAGCCCGGAGCUGCUGUCCUCCCGGCCGCGCUCGCUCCUCCUCCCAAACACCAGUUUUCUUUACAGGCUUCGAGCCCGUCGCGGCUGGGCCGGGCUGGUCUGGCAGGCGGGCCCAGCCGGGCAGGGCUGCUUUGCUAAUGGCGGCGGCUCUCUUUCCUUCCUUCCUCCUUUCCUCCGUCCCCCCGGUCGUGGGGAGCCCGGAGCAGGAGGCGGGCCCGCGGCCAGGUCGGGCCCCGAGAGCCCGCGGGGCGCAGCGCUGGCGACCGGGUGUCGGGGGCCGUUUCGGGGGCCGUGGGCCUCGGGGGCGUCGCGCGCCGCGCCUCCCGCGCUCGCCUCAGCCGGGCGCGGCGGCCUGAUGGGCGCCAUUUCGCGCGCUGCCCGUGGCUGGGGCGGUGGCGGCCGCCGCGCGCCGGGCGGGAGGAGCGGCAGGGGUAGGGGGCUGGGCGACCCGGCGGCCCACGCGGGCACCAGGAGGCCUCGCCCCGGACCGCUUCCCUCUUUCGUCUUUGUCCUGCGCGGGCGCCCGCAGCCGAGGGCCACGGGGUCGGCGGGGCUUCGAGGCCGCCCCGGGUCCCACCGGCUCCUCCGGAAGCCGCGGACCGGCCUGGCCCUGACCCCAGGCCGCCCCCCGCUGCCCACCCAGCUCUGGGCGCCCAGGUCCGACCUCCCAGUCGCCCUCUGAGAGCCGAGUCAGCGCGGGGCGGGGGGUCGCCCCCUUUGUCCUCACUCAGGGCGGGAGGCCCUCGGGGUGGCCGCAGACGCCCCGUUGGGCAGCCCUCCAGCCCAGCUCUCCAGGCAGGAGGUUCUGGGCCGGAGAAGGGGCGACGUUCGGGCACCCCCCGAAUGGACAAUCUUUCCUUCUGUCAACGGCAGGGGCAGGCCUAGUUUGACUCUGACAGUCCUCCCACUAAGGAAUUCCUGGUGACUGGAAGGGGGAGUGACUCAGGCCCUCAACCUCUAGCAGAGUGCCUUGGCUCCCUCCUGUCGUCCUGGGGAACCUCGGCCCCAGCCCUGCCUCCCCAGCCAGUCACAGCUCCUCCCUGGUCACCCUGAGGGAGCUCAGGGCCCGGCUGGUAGCUGGGUUGCUCUGCUUCUGUCCCCCACUCCUGUGGAGCCUGGCAGGCAACUCCAUGAUCUGACCCCGGUUACCUUGACAGCCCUGCCUGGCCUCCCCUCUCAUGGCCCAGCCACCCCAGAACCUGAAGAGGUUUUCUAGCUGCCGUGCAUUUGCCAGGCUGGGUUACCCACCCUACUUUCCCUGCCUGCCCUCCAGUGCUGCCAGGCCUAGUGUGCCAGCCAGCGCUCAGCCUUCAGUAAAGGGUUCCCCUGCUUCCAACCUCCAUUGCACUGCUUCCCCUAAGACUGUGACCUCCUGGAAGGCUGGAGCACAACUGCCUCUCAAUAAACGUGUUGCAAAAAAGGA